Molecule: ribosomal RNA, 613 nt
Filed under: Pseudomonas veronii
Lineage: Bacteria; Pseudomonadati; Pseudomonadota; Gammaproteobacteria; Pseudomonadales; Pseudomonadaceae
Description: bacterial SSU rRNA
Rfam family: Bacterial small subunit ribosomal RNA
Source: RNAcentral
AGAGAAGCUUGCUUCUCUUGAGAGCGGCGGACGGGUGAGUAAUACCUAGGAAUCUGCCUGGUAGUGGGGGAUAACGUUCGGAAACGGACGCUAAUACCGCAUACGUCCUACGGGAGAAAGCAGGGGACCUUCGGGCCUUGCGCUAUCAGAUGAGCCUAGGUCGGAUUAGCUAGUUGGUGAGGUAAUGGCUCACCAAGGCGACGAUCCGUAACUGGUCUGAGAGGAUGAUCAGUCACACUGGAACUGAGACACGGUCCAGACUCCUACGGGAGGCAGCAGUGGGGAAUAUUGGACAAUGGGCGAAAGCCUGAUCCAGCCAUGCCGCGUGUGUGAAGAAGGUCUUCGGAUUGUAAAGCACUUUAAGUUGGGAGGAAGGGCAGUUACCUAAUACGUGAGUAUUUUGACGUUACCGACAGAAUAAGCACCGGCUAACUCUGUGCCAGCAGCCGCGGUAAUACAGAGGGUGCAAGCGUUAAUCGGAAUUACUGGGCGUAAAGCGCGCGUAGGUGGUUCGUUAAGUUGGAUGUGAAAUCCCCGGGCUCAACCUGGGAACUGCAUCCAAAACUGGCGAGCUAGAGUAGGGCAGAGGGUGGUGGAAUUUCCUGUGUAGCGG